AGAAUCAACGCUGGCGGCGUGCCUAACACAUGCAAGUCGAACGAGAAAGUGGAGCAAUCCAUGAGUAAAGUGGCGCACGGGUGAGUAACACGUGACUAACCUACCUUCGAGUGGGGGAUAACCUCGGGAAACCGGGGCUAAUACCGCAUAACAUCUUUGGAGUGGAAAUUUCGGAGAUCAAAGGGGCAAUUCGCUUGAAGAGGGGGUCGCGGCUGAUUAGCUAGUUGGCGGGGUAACGCCCACCAAGGCUUAGAUCGGUA
Molecule: ribosomal RNA, 260 nt
Filed under: uncultured bacterium
Lineage: Bacteria
Description: partial small subunit ribosomal RNA
Rfam family: Bacterial small subunit ribosomal RNA
Source: RNAcentral